UGCUCCUACGGGACGUAGCAGUGGGGAAUAUUGCACAAUGGGGGAAACCCCGAUGCAGCGACGCCGCGUGAGUGAAGAAGUAUUUCGGUACGUAAAGCUCUAUCAGCAGGGAAGAAAAAAAGUCCUUUGGACUCUGGACGGUACCUGACUAAGAAGCCCCGGCUAACUACGUGCCAGCAGCCGCGGUAAUACGUAGGGGGCAAGCGUUAUCCGGAUUUACUGGGUGUAAAGGG
RNAcentral lists this ribosomal RNA (233 nucleotides) under uncultured bacterium. Its description in RNAcentral is "partial 16S ribosomal RNA". It matches the Rfam family "Bacterial small subunit ribosomal RNA", at positions 334 to 567 of the family's 1533-position model. The record is from RNAcentral.